CAUGAGGUGGUAGGAGAGGCCAAUGAGAGAAUUAACACUAGGGAAAAUCCAAGCACUGGUGUCGCUAACUUACUGGUUUUGCUGUUGCAUGAAGAAUGAGGUAAUGUCUUCAUGAGUUCUCUUGUGGCACUAUCAGGAGUGUUCUUGCGGGGUAUGGUUUGGAGCAAUGAAUGCCCAAUAUAUGUUUUAUUUGGAGACGUUUGCCCUUUAAGUAAUCAAGUAUUCAACGUGCAAGAGAUGGCAAGCCACUUCAAAAUUCGUCUAUUCACGACCUGUGCUAUCAUUCUAACAAGGUCAAUCUGUCUCUUUAGAGACUUGACCGGCCUUGCUGUCAAAAGAUGCAGGACUUGUUGGCCGAUAUCAUGGACCUGUCUAUUGCUAUUGUUCGAGAAUGACAAACAUCGGCACCAGUACCUGCACAGAAAAUUAGCCUAUCUAUAUAGCAGUGGCUGUGAAGUCUGGAGGAUGGUUUUUGCCCUACAGCUGGUGCCGAACUGCCGACUUUGAUCAUUAUCAUUCAUUGACAUAUCACUUGGCCUGAUCUUGGUGUAGGACUGUAGGUGAAACAUACAGAGAAUGUUUUCACUUCCUUUUCAAGUUCAGGCUGCGAUUUCAGCUACGCUAAAAAGAAGUGGUUGAUGUCAGAGUCAAGAGAGUCGGCUUGACUACAUGUCGAUGAGCACUAUCUGUGCUAAUCCUUUGACCAAGGGGUCUUGUGUCACGGACUUUGUGCUCCUUGGAAGUUUUAUGGAUUUUUUUUUGAAGAAAUAGUUAUUCAGAUAAAUCUCGCUUUCUUUUCUCGUA
Long non-coding RNA from Panicum virgatum (switchgrass), 804 nucleotides. RefSeq lists it as uncharacterized. The transcript has 2 exons. The record is from RefSeq and is a predicted model, not a curated record. Lineage: Eukaryota; Viridiplantae; Streptophyta; Magnoliopsida; Poales; Poaceae.